UAAUGCCUANGAAAUUGCCUUGAUGUGGGGGAUAACCAUUGGAAACGAUGGCUAAUACCGCAUANNGCCUACGGGCCAAAGAGGGGGACCUUCGGGCCUCUCGCGUCNNGAUAUGCCUAGGUGGGAUUAGCUAGUUGGUGAGGUAAUGGCUCACCNNGGCGACGAUCCCUANCUGGUCUGAGAGGAUGAUCAGCCACACUGGAACUGANACNCGGUCCAGACUCCUACGGGAGGCAGCAGUGGGGAAUAUUGCACAAUGGGCGAAAGCCUGAUGCAGCCAUGCCGCGUGUAUGAAGAAGGCCUUCGGGUUGUAAAGUACUUUCAGUUGUGAGGAANGGGGUANCGUUAAUANCGCUAUCUCUUGACGUUAGCAACNNAAGAAGCACCGGCUAACUCCGUGCCAGCAGCCGCGGUAAUACGGAGGGUGCGAGCGUUAAUCGGAAUUACUGGGCGUAAAGCGCAUGCAGGUGGUUCAUUAAGUCAGAUGUGAAAGCCCGGGGCUCAACCUCGGAACUGCAUUUGAAACUGAUGAACUAGAGUACUGUAGAGGGGGGUAGAAUUUCAGGUGUAGCGGUGAANUGCGUAGAGAUCUGAAGGAAUACCAGUGGCGAAGGCGGCCCCCUGGACAGAUACUGACACUCAGAUGCGAAAGCGUGGGGAGCAAACAGGAUUAGAUACCCUGNUAGUCCACGCCGUAAACGANGUCUACUUGGA
Molecule: ribosomal RNA, 714 nt
Filed under: Vibrio sp. KR07-28
Lineage: Bacteria; Pseudomonadati; Pseudomonadota; Gammaproteobacteria; Vibrionales; Vibrionaceae
Description: partial 16S ribosomal RNA
Rfam family: Bacterial small subunit ribosomal RNA
Source: RNAcentral